RNAcentral lists this ribosomal RNA (273 nucleotides) under uncultured bacterium. RNAcentral's name for it is "partial 16S ribosomal RNA". It matches the Rfam family "Bacterial small subunit ribosomal RNA", at positions 524 to 796 of the family's 1533-position model. The record is from RNAcentral.
UACUGAUUGUUCACGCUUGAAUCGGAAUUACUGGGCGUAAAGCGCACGCAGGCGGUCUGUCAAGUCGGAUGUGAAAUCCCCGGGCUCAACCUGGGAACUGCAUUCGAAACUGGCAGGCUAGAGUCUUGUAGAGGGGGGUAGAAUUCCAGGUGUAGCGGUGAAAUGCGUAGAGAUCUGGAGGAAUACCGGUGGCGAAGGCGGCCCCCUGGACAAAGACUGACGCUCAGGUGCGAAAGCGUGGGGAGCAAACAGGAUGAGAUAACCGGGUAGUCC